This is a long non-coding RNA of Varanus komodoensis (Komodo dragon), 4592 nucleotides long. RefSeq lists it as uncharacterized. NCBI's taxonomy places the organism in Eukaryota, Metazoa, Chordata, Lepidosauria, Squamata, Varanidae. The record is from RefSeq and is a predicted model, not a curated record. The transcript is spliced from 4 exons.
AACACCCUGCUGCUCUUUGUUUAAAUUGGGACUGACUGCUGGGUCACAUGACUCAGCCUACAGCUAACAAGCCUGUGGCUUGUGGGCUGGGCCAUAAUCUUACAGUUGGGACUAAUCAGGUCAGCUCUGCUGCAAGGCUCUGUGUCCUGGCAGUGAAUGAUAGCAGUGAGUUUACUAGGAGAGGUUGGAGAGGAGUCCAUGGAAACAGCAGGGCCAUCUGGAAUACAUUGCACUGUGCAAAUGGACGGAGUUGUUCCAGCAACCUGCAGGGUGUGUGCCAUGUUCGUCUUCCUUCUAGGGAGAACAGGAACCAAACCUGCAGCCUGUGAAGGCUGGGAGCUCUCCUGGAAGAGAAUGCAGGGAGGCUGAAGCAUGCUUCUGCACACUUCAACUUGUCGAGAAAGACAGACAGUUGAACGGCUUGUAGUUGAGAGGCAGGUAGCCCUCUUGAAAGAACAAUAGGAGGAGGAGAGAGCCAAGGAAGGGGAAGAAAACAGAAGGCAAGGAGAACUAGAGGGGAGGAAGAAUGUGACACACGGCAGAACAGAUGAAGAGCUCUUCCCAUGGAAGGUGACCCUGGGCCAUUGGAAAACUGGGCACUGCGUGCACACUACAGAUCAUUAGGGAAGACACUUGGGUCCAUGUGGAAUUGAAGAAUUUACCCACCAAUCCUUUCCAUUGGGUGGUUAUGAAUCCUGGGUGGCCUGAAGGUGGGACACCACCCUGAACUCCACAAAAUACUGGUGAAGGCACCCAGACACACAUGUAUGGGAGGAACAGAAGAGCCAACCCAGAAGGAGCAGAUGCGGGACAGCGGCGAGAGACUCCCUACUGGCGGCUGCGGUGUGCAUACCAGAUAAUUAAUCUUGGGAAGCAUUUCACCUUCCUGGAGCACAGAUCCGAGAUGGGAUGGCGUGGGUGCAGAGACUCAUCAAGACAACUGCCUGCUAUCCACUCUUGCUGAUUCAUGUGGGAGCAAAUGGUAGUGCCAGAAAAAAUGUUGAAUGGAUCUCCGAAGACCGUGAGGCUCUGGAUAGGAAAGUGAAGGAUUUGGAGGUACAAGUGUUAUCUCUUCAUCAAUCCUUUCUGAUGAAGGUCAGUGCACUGUUAGGGAAAGAUCCUGAAAUUAAUAGCUGGUUGUGCAGAUGAUGUCACUGGAAAGGUUUGGUUUUGUGGACCACAGCUUUCAAUACCAAUUUGUAGGACUCCUUUCAUAUAGUUCGGGUGAACCUCACUAGGACUAGAAAACAUUUUUUUGGGUAGCAGACUUGCAAACCUGAUUAUUUUAAACAAACCUUGUAUGUGUGUGGGUGUAAGCUAGCUACUGAGUUACGUAUCACAGAGAAGGACAAAGGAGGAGACAAGACUUGGGGAAGCAGAUCCAGUAAAUUGCAGUUAACACAGCAGGGAAACUGAAAAGGUGCAACAUCUAUGGCCUCAGGUGACUAUAUACUAAUACAUGGAGCAUGAGAAACAAACAGGAGAAACUUGAAAUCCUAAUACAAAAUGGUAAGGACGAUCAGAUAGAUAUCACUGACACUUGGUCCAAUGUGACUCCUGAUUGGAAUAUUGCCAAUGAAGGGCAUACCUUGUUGAAAAGGAAAAGAGCUAACAGGAAGGGAAGUUGCAGUAUAUUUAGGAAUGUGUGGAAAUCUGUAAUGCUAAGAAAAGAAGCAUGGUUAGAGAUAGAUGGAGGGAUAAAUUGUUGUGGCAGUUAACAUGGAUGGUGUCUUCUGGGAGAAUUAAUAAAACUUUUACUGGGACAAGCAAUAGAGUAAUAGGAACUUCAACUAUUCUGACAUUUGCUGGAAGUCUGCAGCGAAUGGAAUAUCCAGUAAGUUUUUCUUUAUUGUUAUUGUAUAUUUAUUUAUUAUAAAUAUUUAUUAUUUAUUUUUGCUCUGACUUGCUGACUACCUUGCAGAAGGUAGAGGAAGGAACAAGGGCAACUGCAAUCUUGGGCUUAAUUCUGACCCAAUAUAAAGAAAUGGCAGAUGAAAUGCAAGUGGAAGAACUCUCUUGGGUAAGUGACUGGGUCACUUCAAGAUAGAAUUCAUGACAGAAACAGCUGUGAAUGGCAGGGUAUUAAAUUAAUUAACUAACAAACAAGCAACACUCAGCUUAGUUGAAGCACUAGAGGGAUUUAAGCAGAAGUUGGUUGGCCCUUGGGCAGGGAUGCAGUAGCUGCCCAUUGGCAACCAAGCCAGGUUUAAUGUUCUGGAACUAGUGUACAAAGGUGUCAGGAUAUUUGAGAGAGCUUUACCAGCCUGCCUGGCAACUGAAGUCAUUGGACCUAUCACCGAACUGGAGUUGACCAGGCUCUUCAGUGUGGUGGCUCUCUUUGUACGGAAUGCCCUGUCCCUGGAAGUCAGUCAGGCUUUCACACUCUUCUUUCUGGCACUUGCUGGAAAAGUCUUUGUUCCUGAAAGUCUUCAUUGCUUACCAGCCAGUUUUAAUAUACUGUUUUUAAUGUGCUUAUUUUAGCCUUUUUAUAAAUUUAAUCUUUAUUUUUCACUGCCCUGGAAUUUGUCUAGAUAUUGACUGGUAUACUAAUGCAGUAAAUAAAUACAUAAAAUAAAACAUGAAACAUUUAAUGUCUGUGCCAUGAAAUAAAGGCAGCAAGUAUAUUCUAGAACCUCAGUCUUGCUUCGUUGCAACUUUGCUUCCAUGCACCCAUGUUUUCUCUACAUCUUUCUAAUUUUCUUCUGCAGCUUUGGAGAACACAGAUACUCAAGUUCCUAGUGGCUGCCUAGGUACACACUGACUUUCUGUUUUCCUUCACUGCAAGCUCUUAUUGAUGUUAAUGAUGGACAACAUGGGGCGAGUUGGGGAGAAAAGAACAAGGCUGAUAAUGAGAGGAUGCAGACAGACAAAAGAAUGGAGGUAACUAAUUAUUGGGAUGGGUGUUGUUUCAGGCAAUAAAAUUCAUUAGAAAUAAGGAGGAUGCACUUGCACUGAGGAGCAAACAUAUAUAGGAUUGGCCUUUGCGCUAGGUUGCUUUUUAUUUAAAAUAGUAAGCCAAGCAUAAGCACCUCACAGCCCAAGAGCCAAAAGCAGACUCCCCAGGGCCAUCGUGGCAGCCCCCACUGUCUCUACCCACCAUUACCAAAAUUAUAGCAAUUUUGAAGGAAAACAUAGUGUGUUUGCAAGCAAAAUUCUCAAAAGCAUAAUUCCGAUUGAAAGUGCUAUUCUUCUCCCUUCAUUGUCUUGCCUUGUUUCUCUGUAAAAUUUCCACAAUUUGAGCUGCUGCCAGGGGGUGUGGGAGGUAGCCCCCUGACCCUCCCCUGAUUUAAGCAGAGUUAGUCUAAUGUGCAGAUAAGCUAGAAUAGUUGCAUGACACCUGGUUAAACAUUCACAGGAUUAUGCUUUGGAGUUGAGAUAACCUCCUGCAUAGUUUAUCUAUUAGAAUUAAUAAUUCAAAUGAAUAAAAUCUUAUUAAACAGUGUGCCAUUGCGCAGAGUCCUGUCUUGAAUCUGCAGAAGACAAUGACUGAAUGAAAGACCAAGAGGAGAUGUACGUGCAUGAAAGGCUAAGUCAGAAGUGCCAUGGGUCUGUAUGAAGCCCUUACUACUAACAUGGAAGUGAAGUUAAGAUCCAAGUCUCAGGGACACAUUUGGAGACACCAGGGCUGCAGUGGGUGGAAUGUAUACUUCUGGAAGAUUCACACAGUUGGAUACAAACCAUGUUUUUUAAGGUAUCACUCCAGUAACAGGAAGAUGCAGCUGGAACAAGCUGACUCAUCUACCCAACUCUUCAUACAAGCAAAGUCAUUCAAGAUCAAACCCUAGAAGAUUUAAAAUUGGGGAAAAUAUUUCCUCAGGAAAGUAUUAUCAUCAAUACAUUACAAGCCUUUGGACUGGAUCCCCAGAUAUAUUUACAGAAGAAAUUAUGAUAGCACUAAUGAUCCACUUGGAAGAUAUGUGUGACCUCAUGCAAAACCUGGUACAGAAGACUGCAUAAGGCCUUGCAUAAGACAUUUUUACUCUCUUUUAUCACACAAGGAUCUUAUGUGAAGUCUGAAAAGGCCCUCCUGCAUAUGGAAGAGGCUUUCCACUUGAGGAAGGGGAUCUCCAGAUCCAACCUCUUGUUAUGUUGGAAUCUAUUCAGAAAAUAUCAAUCAUGGAUGGGAGACAAAAGACAAGACUAUCUUUUCUCCUUUCCUAAUGAAGCUUAUGUUCAGAAGCUGAAGAACAGGCCUGAAGUCUUUUGAUUUUUGCCCCCAACAGAAAUGGGCAGGCAUGGGAAUGAAAACUGACUUCCUAUCUUGCUCCACCAGAGGUUACUUUCCCAAUCAAUCUUCCCAGCCAGUAUCACUAUCUUAAUGACUGAUUGGUGAGGAAGCCUCCUGCUUUCUCUGUUUCCCAGCCAUCUUUGAAACUAUACUGGAUAACAGAAUAGUAUAAUCAGGAUCGCAUGCUGUGAUCUUCCGUUUUUGGCCUAUGCCAAGUUGCUGUGUGAAUCCACCAAGGGAGCACUCACUCUAAAGCUUCAGGAAUGCCCCAUUUAUGAAAUAUGGAGAGAACUUGACCUAUUUAUUAUGCAGAAAAGGCAGACUUCUCAAAAUUAUUUAUUUAUUUAUUUAUUAAAACAUUUUU